GACGAACGCUGGCGGCGUGCCUAAUACAUGCAAGUUGAGCGCCGAAGGUUGGUACUUGUACCAACUGGAUGAGCAGCGAACGGGUGAGUAACGCGUGGGGAAUCUGCCUUUGAGCGGGGGACAACAUUUGGAAACGAAUGCUAAUACCGCAUAAAAACUUUAAACACAAGUUUUAAGUUUGAAAGAUGCAAUUGCAUCACUCAAAGAUGAUCCCGCGUUGUAUUAGCUAGUUGGUGAGGUAAAGGCUCACCAAGGCGAUGAUACAUAGCCGACCUGAGAGGGUGAUCGGCCACAUUGGGACUGAGACACGGCCCAAACUCCUACGGGAGGCAGCAGUAGGGAAUCUUCGGCAAUGGACGAAAGUCUGACCGAGCAACGCCGCGUGAGUGAAGAAGGGUUUCGGAUCGUAAAACUCUGUUGGUAGAGAAGAACGUUGGUGAGAGUGGAAAGCUCAUCAAGUGACGGUAACUACCCAGAAAGGGACGGCUAACUACGUG
Molecule: ribosomal RNA, 497 nt
Filed under: uncultured bacterium
Lineage: Bacteria
Description: partial 16S ribosomal RNA
Rfam family: Bacterial small subunit ribosomal RNA
Source: RNAcentral